GGCUCAAUGGUCUAGAAGUAUGAUUCGCCCUUCGGGUUCUACCCGGCAACCAACCCGGUCGCCACAGAUUGGGCGAGGGUCCCGGGUUCAAUUCCCGGUUGAGCCC
Non-coding RNA from Favolaschia claudopus, 106 nucleotides. The record is from the annotation of a GenBank genome assembly. Lineage: Eukaryota; Fungi; Basidiomycota; Agaricomycetes; Agaricales; Mycenaceae.